AACACAUGGCCUGCCUUUAUCCUUGCUAAGCACCAGUCAGGGGCCUAAGCAGUUCUGAGGAUACAAUUUUCUACACCACUCGAUCCCCUGGAACAAAGCUUGAGACUCAGCGAUACCAUCGACCCCACCAAGGGGCAUGCUGCGCUACAGCCCGGAGCUCCACUUUGAGAAAGACCACAUCAUCCUAGAGGUGAAUUGGAAGCUCUGCGGGGGACUUGCCUCUCUAAUCCCAGGAGUGACCUGAAGUGAAGGUCUGGGAGAGGCAGCUUUCCCUGGGGUACAGCUGCCUGGGCCUGAAGAUGCUUAGACCCCAAGAGAAUCCAGCCAGCUGUGCACUUCCACCCAAGCAGCCUCAGAGGAAGCCAUGGUGCACAUGCCAUAUUGGGUACUUCUUUUAAUUUCUCACCGUGUGUACCUUGAAAUUAGAAAUGACCACUCUCUCAAAAUUGCUGUUGGCUUCAACAGACAAAUUCACAAAGACAGUAAGGGGUUAAUUUUUCUCCUGCAAAAAGAAGCUCCAGACCAGAUAGAUGCCUUGCACUCCUGCGCUGCCACCUCGGUGACGAUCUGCCAUCCUCAUGGUCACCUGGCAGCCUCUAUGGCUCCCAGCUUCAGUUCUUAGGAGGCAGAGAGCGAGGUGAAAAGUGCAAGAGCCAGAUGAAUCUGAACCUCUCCCCACGACCUUCCCCGGUAGUUCUAUCCAGUGACUUCCAUUUACAUCUCACUGUCUAGAACUGUUCCAUUCGCCCACGUGCAAAGAAGGGCUGAGAAAUAACUGGACUCACUGUCACCCAAAAGAGUCAGGGCUGUAUUAUUAAGAAAAACGGAGAGGGGGUAUCAGGCAGACAACCUGCAGUAUCAGCCACAAAGAGCAAGAAUCCUUUUCUUUCUUUAGACCCAAACUACAGCAGGACAAUUAACAUAUUCCAUAGGCUACAAAUGAGAAAUAAUCACAUUUCUUAUAAUGCCAGCUAGAAGGCUCCCUCCCUUGUUUUUCCUCUGCUAGCCUUGCAAAUUUCUUACACUUGGUAUUUACUGUGGCCAAACCUAAUUCAUUCAUUUAUGAAGCUAUCUCAGGCACCAGCAGAAGUCAUAAACUAUUCAUCUCGGGAAUGUUUAUAUUUGAGAAGGUCACAGUAUUGAGUGUGUGUAUACUCCAAGGCCCCCUCUCUUUGUUUCAGCCCCUCGUGGCUUGGGCAUGCUAUUUUCCUUUAAACAGUGAAAUGAGAUGUACACAGCUCAAAAUACAUAUUGGUGUUUUCCCAUAAGCUCCAGAGAACUCCUAAUAAAAGAGGCUUGGACCCGC
Non-coding RNA from Microcebus murinus (gray mouse lemur), 1306 nucleotides. The record is from RefSeq and is a predicted model, not a curated record. NCBI's taxonomy places the organism in Eukaryota, Metazoa, Chordata, Mammalia, Primates, Cheirogaleidae.